Molecule: transfer RNA, 73 nt
Filed under: Athalia japonica
Lineage: Eukaryota; Metazoa; Arthropoda; Insecta; Hymenoptera; Athaliidae
Description: tRNA-Lys
Source: RNAcentral
CGUUAAAUGGCUGAAAUGCAAGCAAUGAUCUCUUAAAUCAUAAUAUAAUAAAUUAGCAAUUUAUUUUUAAUGA